RNAcentral lists this long non-coding RNA (2551 nucleotides) under Cucumis sativus (cucumber). Its description in RNAcentral is "long non-coding RNA (CSAT_LNC002796)". The record is from RNAcentral. Lineage: Eukaryota; Viridiplantae; Streptophyta; Magnoliopsida; Cucurbitales; Cucurbitaceae.
GGGGAUUGCUCAAAUCUUGGUGACAACUUAUACGCUAUAGCUUGUAAGUUUUUUGAUGUCAAAUACUGUUUGUCCAUGGAUUUGAGCAAAUACGCUAUAGCGUACUCCAAGCUAAAGGCUAGAACUUCGUAAACAUGUAUAAUGUCUAUACAGAGACAAAACUUUGGUCUUCAAGACCAAUAAGAUAUGUGCUCACAAUUAUCUUUAGGAGUAUGCUCUACGUCAGUUUUUCCCUAACUAGAUUCUUAACCGACUAAACACUCACCAAAAGCAAGAUUUCUCUAACCACAAAAUAAAGCUAUCCAUUAACUAGUCUACUAUCUUCGUAAUUAUCUAUUCUGACAAUUACUGUUUCGGCAGAAACUGCAGGCAUCUGUGCAUUGCUUUCCAAACCUACGACAACCACAACGGUUUCCACAGCCGGUCCUACAUUUACAUUUAAUCGCUGCAAUCCUCCUCUCCUCCGCUUGUAUCAUUGCCUGUUUUAAAUGAGAAGCACUCUCCAUAGCAUUCGAUAAUAUUGACUGAAGUCUCAUGCGGAUAUAAGAAACGGUAUUUUCUACAACAAUGUAUGCUUUCAGCAACUGAUUAGCAGUAUAUGAAAUUAUUUGUAAAUAAAGCAUAUCAAAUACUCGAUAACCUUGGUUGAUGAGUCGCCAUAUUCGAUUUUCAAGUUCUCGGUAUCUAGCUAAUAUAAUGGCUCUAUAGUUAUCCAACGGUAGAGUAAGUUGAUUCACCGUUCCAACAAUCGCAGCAGCAUCACGCAAUACGCCAUGUAAAUUUCUAAUGCACUGUAGGUUGUCGUCGUUUAGCAUGGCCACCAUUAGACCCGCGUUGCUACUGUUUACCAAAUCAUUCGUUCUAUCUUUGUCGAGCAAAAGAGAAUUGCUAAGCUCUUGCAGCUCUCGCAGGUAUUGCUGAUCUUCCGGGUUUAACAUUUAUCUGCAUAAUAAGAUUUUAGUAAUUCAAACAAAGGCCUAAACCAUAAAUCUUCCCUAAACCCUAAAGAGUUGGUGAAAGGUGGAAUUCCACGGAUAUAGAAAAACAAGAAUAAUAAACUGAAGACAAGAGAGGUAAUGUGUUAACCACUAUAAAGUUUCUAGAUUAACAUGCUAAUAGAGAUUAUGAUGUAAACCCACAAAAGAAUAGCUUUCAUCUAAAUCAAGUAGUCUACUCCACCAUGAUUAUUAUUAUUACUAUUAUUUUUUUAGAUUCAAACUAAACAAUUGAUACACUCGACUACGAUCACCUACAGAAAUACACGAAAGUUGACGAGCAACAACAUAACAGAAGAAGCCAACAAAGUUAAAGGCAGAAAAUAAUAAGGAACCUCACUCACCUGAUGAUGGAAGGGACAGACGGGAGCCAAAGAUAGCAAGGAAAGGGUCAAAUGCAAGUGAGAUGAUGCCGUUUCAUCUAAGAAUGAUCAAAUACAAGUGAGACCUCACACAAAUUCAAGGAAUAAUGUCAGUUCAUUAAAAAAGUAAAACUAAAGUAAAUAUGAUGAUAAAUAAAUGUGCAACCAAAAAAUGGGAAUCUUUCUUCCAGACCAAAUAAAAUUAACAAAAGGUUCUUACUUUAAAAACUCUUCUUUUGCAUAAAACAAUUAGGAGAAAAACAAACCCCUAUUCCAAAAAUGGAAACUGACAAUUGUCACAGCAGCUAAAUUUCCAGAGAUGUCAACAAAUAAGCCUAUCUAAAAUCUUCCAUACUAAGGCUCAAAUUUUUUUCCAUUUUUGCUGUGAACUGCAGAUGAGUAAGGCAAUGAUGAGCCGUUGGAUUUCUGACAUUUAUGGACAGAAAAUCAACAGAUUUGAUUAAAUUAGUUUACACGAGCACUGAAAGUGGGGAACUUGAAAAUUAAAAAAAUGUUUACGGCUGAUUGUAUCACUGAGCCCCAGUGGAGUGGCGCCAACAUUAAUGAUUCCGGCUUUAAGAAUUUGGCGAAAUCAUCGGCGAUAACGGAUGGAGUUCAAGUUCCCUUUUCUUUUUUCUACUCUUCAAUUUUAACUUCAUCAAUUUUCUAGCAGUAGCACCUCCAUGGAGCUCGAGAGGGCAAUAACUUUCAAGCGCCAAAACAAAUUUAAGAAAAUCCUUUUUUAUUUUUCACAUGUUCAAGAGAUAUUGAUAACUUAUAUUAUUAGUUUCAAUCCUAUUAAUAGACUAAAUCUUCAGAAAUGUUAAAAGUUUUUUCGUCAAUAUUGUUUAAUGUGAAUUGAUUACUCCUUUACUCGAUCCAACUUACCUAGUCCUUCCUUCUCACAAGAUAAAAUGCUUGAGAAUCAGCCCAAUUUUUCUUAAUCCACAAAAUGGCAGUAGCUAUAUAGACAUUAUACACACUAAACAAAGAAACAAUCCUACUUAAAAUGGAGGAGUACCUCAGUCAUAAUGCCACAAACCCUGCCUCGAGCUAAACAUAACCCAAAUGACCAAGGAACCUCACAAAUUCAACUUAACAGAGUCAUAGAACCAAUGGAACGACUUGUUGGCUGAGAACACAGCCAUUUAACACAAUUUCAAAUUUAAAGUAUACCAACAAUGUAUUUGUGGG